AACGAACGCUGGCGGCAUGCCUAACACAUGCAAGUCGAACGAGAUCUUCGGGUCUAGUGGCGCACGGGUGCGUAACGCGUGGGCAUCUGCCCUUUGGUUCGGAAUCACAGUUGGAAACGACUGCUAAUACCGGAUGAUGACGAAAGUCCAAAGAUUUAUCUCCAGAGGAUGAGCCCGCGUAGGAUUAGCAAGUUGUUGUGGUAAAGGCGCACCAAGGCGACGAUCCUUAGCUGGUCUGAGAGGAUGAGCAGCCACACUGGGACUGGGAACCGGCCCAGACUCCUACGGGAGGCAGCAGUGGGGAAUAUUGGACAAUGGGCGAAAUCCUGAUCCAGCAAUGCCGCGUGAGUGAUGAAGGCCUUAGGGUUGUAAAGCUCUUUUACCCGGGAUGAUAAUGACAGUACCGGGAGAAUAAGCUCCGGCUAACUCCGUGCCAGCCGCCGCAGUAA
Molecule: ribosomal RNA, 449 nt
Filed under: uncultured bacterium
Lineage: Bacteria
Description: partial 16S ribosomal RNA
Rfam family: Bacterial small subunit ribosomal RNA
Source: RNAcentral